RNA transcript from Mandrillus leucophaeus (drill), 2515 nucleotides. It is a transcript of the gene named inosine-5'-monophosphate dehydrogenase 1 pseudogene, with no coding region annotated. The transcript has a single exon. Lineage: Eukaryota; Metazoa; Chordata; Mammalia; Primates; Cercopithecidae. The record is from RefSeq and is a predicted model, not a curated record.
AUCAGCGGCGGCACCAGCUACAUGCUCCAGGACGGGCUCACCGCACAGCAGCUCUUUGCCAGCGACCAGGGACUCACCUACAACAACUUCUUGAUUCUCCCAGGAUUCAUAGACUUCAUAGCUGAUGAGGUGGACCUGACCUCAGCCCUGACCCGAUGGUCACGCUGAAGACGCCACUGGUCUCCUCCCCCAUGGACACUGUGACAGAGGCUGACAUAGCCAUCGCCAUGGCUCUGAUAGGAGGUAUUAGUUUCAUUCACCACAACUCACUCCAGAGUUUCAGGCCAGUGAGGUGCGGAAGGUCAAGAAGUUUGAAUAGGACUUCAACACGGACCCGGUGGUGCUAAGUUCCUCGCACACUGUGGGUGAUGUGCUGGAGGCCAAGAUGCGGCAUGGCUUCCCUGGCAUCCCCAUCACGGAGACAGGCACCAUGGGCAGCAGGUUGGUGAGCAUCGUCGCUUCCCGAGACAUCGAUUUUCUUGCUGAGAAGGCCCACACCACCCUCCUCAGUGAGGCAAUGACGCCAAGGAUCGAGCUAGUGGUGGUUCCAGCAGGUGUGAUGUUGAAAGAGGCAAAUGAGAUCCCACAGCUUAGCAAGAAAGGGAAGCUGCCUACCGUCAACGAUCAAGAUGAGCUGGUGGCCAUUAUCACUGACACCCACCUGAAGAAGAACCAAGACUACCCUGCGGCUUCCGAGGAUUCCCAUAAGCAGCUGCUGUGCGGGGCAGCUGUGGGCACCCGUGAGGAUGACAAAUACUGCCUGGACCUGCCCACCCAGGUAGGCGUCGACAUCAUAGUCUUGAACUCGUCCCAAGGGAACUCAGUGUAUCAGAUUGCCAUGGUGCAUUACAUCAAACAAAAGUACCCCCACCUCCAGGUGACUGGAGAGAACGUUGGUGACAGCAGCCCAGGCCAACAACCUUAUUGACACUGGUGUGGACGGGCUGCGCAUGGGCAUGGGCCGCGGCUCCAUCUACAUCACCCAGGAAGUGAUGGUCUUCGGUCAGCCCCAAGGCACUGCUGUGUACAAGGUGGCCAAGCAUGCCCAGCGCUUUGGUGUGCCCAUCAUAGCCAGUGGCAGCAUCCAGACCGUGGGGCAUGUGGUCAAAGCCCUGGCCCUUGGAGCCUCCACAGUGAUGAUGGGCUCCUUGCUGGCCGCCACCACGGAGGCCGGCGAGUACUUCUCAGACAGAAUGCACCUCAAGAAGUAUCGGGGCAUGGGUUCACUGGAUGCCAUGCAGAAGAGCAGCAGCAGCCAGAAACAAUACUUCAAUGACAGGGAUAAGGUGAAGAUCACACAGGGUGUCUCGGGCUCCAUCCAGGACCAAGGGGCCAUUCAGAAGUUCAUGCCCUACCUCAUAGUGGGCAUCCAGCAUGGCUGCCAGGAUAUCGGGGCCUGCAGCCUGUCUGUCCUUCGGUCCAUGAGGUGCUCAGCGGAGCUCAAGUUUGAGAAGCGGACCAUGUCGGCCCAGAUCGAGGGUGGCGUCCAUGGCCUGCACUCUUACGAGAAGCGACUGUACUGAGGACAGCGGUGCAGGGCGAGGUGGCGGAGGGAGUGCACCCCAGUGUCCACCUUCGGGCACAGCCUCCCUCCAUCACUGAGUCCACAGAUUUGCCCUACAGGUUCCCCAGCUCCUUUCCAGGGAGAGAGGAGGGGAGGCUCUGAGGGGUCUGCGGCCACCCUCGCUGAGCAUCCCCUGCAGAGUCAGGACUGCUCCCUGGGUUAGGCUGCCCUGGGAUACCCCCUGAAUCCAGCCAGUCAGGCUCUCAGGCCCUGCACCUGCCUCAGGUCUUUCUUGCUGCAGCCUGCUCCAGCCCAGCCCCCACCCCAGGGGCAGGAGGCUCCUCCUGGCUUCUCCUGUAGGGCACCUCCCUGUCCCCAGUCCCCCAGGAAAUGGUGCUCUCCUGGCCCUGCCUCGGCCCCUUCCCGGGCUGCUGCCCCCUCAGCCAUGUGGCACUUCUGAGCUCCUGACCUAGGCCAAGGGGAGGUCUCUGCCCCCUUCCCUGGCCCUGGGCUACCCUUGGGUCCUGCUCCUCAGGCCACUCCCCAGUCCCUGGCCCUGGGGAGGAGGCCGCCCUGGUCAUGGCUGCCUGCCUGUUAUUCCUGACUCACCACCGUCCCCAGGUGUACCAUUCCUGCCCUCUCCUCAGCUGCAGUUGAAGGCUUUAACUUUGCACACUUUGGGAUCACUGUCGAGUCACUGUGUGUUAAAUAAUCGGAAUAAAUCAAGUAGGUCUCAAAAAACAAACAAAAAAAAAGAAUGGAGUAUAAAUGCUACUUCUGUUCUCGAUCUUUGAUCAGACAAAUUUAGAGUGUGUUGGGGUGGAAGAGUGCUCUAUAGAUUAAUGAGUCUCAGCCAUGCCCUUUAGGCUGUGAUGCUAUGGUGGCAGUGAACUUGCUAACAGAGCCGAAGCUGAGGCUGAGUCUAAAAGACAAUGAGGGAUGCAAGUAAGGGAGAAGGCCAAUGUGAGUCUGGUCCUUUUUAUCAAGGAAAAAAUCGAAUGUGCUCUUUUC